RNAcentral lists this ribosomal RNA (478 nucleotides) under uncultured bacterium. RNAcentral's name for it is "partial 16S ribosomal RNA". It matches the Rfam family "Bacterial small subunit ribosomal RNA", at positions 28 to 523 of the family's 1533-position model. The record is from RNAcentral.
GACGAACGCUGGCGGCGUGCUUAACACAUGCAAGUCGAACGGUAAGGCCCUUCGGGGUACACGAGUGGCGAACGGGUGAGUAACACGUGGGUGAUCUGCCCUGCACUUCGGGAUAAGCCUGGGAAACUGGGUCUAAUACCGGAUAGGACCACUGCCUGCAUGGGUGGUGGUGGAAAGCUUUUGCGGUGUGGGAUGGGCCCGCGGCCUAUCAGCUUGUUGGUGGGGUGAUGGCCUACCAAGGCGACGACGGGUAGCCGGCCUGAGAGGGUGACCGGCCAAACUGGGGCUGGGAUACGGCCCAGACUCAUACGGGAGGCAGCAGUGGGGAAUAUUGCACAAUGGGCGCAAGCCUGAUGCAGCGACGCCGCGUGAGGGAUGACGGCCUUCGGGUUGUAAACCUCUUUCAGCACCGACGAAGCGCAAGUGACGGUAGGUGCAGAAGAAGGACCGGCCAACUACGUGCCAGCCGCCGCGGUAA